AUGGGCACAGGAAAAUAUCAGUUGGAUAAAGAACAUUUUGCUCUCUAUCCAGACUUUGAGGACAAUCAAGUUGUCAUGAAUGAGAAUGAUCCAUCAUCAGUGCAAGCUCAAGAGAAGAGGGAGAAGGCAACGAAAGAGAAGGCUGCCAAGAUGCCAACUCAAGAGGAGGCAUCUGAGUAUUUCUUGAAGAACAAACAGGAGCAGCUUGGUUACUUGAUAGCAUCAACACUGAGGAUUGAGAAGGGGUUGGCCACCCUAACUCAAAACCAGGAGAGCCUGGAAAGAAUCAUGGAACAAAAAUUCUUUGAUCUUGAUGUCAAAGUAACUGAGAUUCAGUCAGUUGUGGAACAGCUGCAGGAUGACAUGCAGGAGUGGAAGGGCAAGACAACCACAGAUGCAUUUGCCAGAGUGCCUAGAGCUCACAGGUCAGCUGCAAUGCCUGUAACAGACACAAGAGCCACAUCAUCUGCACCAGCUACAGCUCCUACAACUCCAGGGCAACCAGCUCCAGCACCAACUCCUCCAGCUCCGUCUACAUCAACUGAAGUCUUCGUCCAAGGAGCCAUCUCUACACCACCAACGGAAGACCAAGCCUGA
Molecule: ribosomal RNA, 597 nt
Filed under: Triticum aestivum (bread wheat)
Lineage: Eukaryota; Viridiplantae; Streptophyta; Magnoliopsida; Poales; Poaceae
Description: partial small subunit ribosomal RNA
Source: RNAcentral